GCCCGAGAAGCUCUAUUGGUGGAGCAUAAUACUGAAGCUAUUAUGGUUGUAAGUUCAAGUCUUACCUUGGGCA
This 73-nucleotide transfer RNA is filed under the name Pseudofabraea citricarpa. Its description in RNAcentral is "tRNA-Phe". It matches the Rfam family "tRNA". From Rfam's summary of the family: Transfer RNA (tRNA) molecules are approximately 80 nucleotides in length. Their secondary structure includes four short double-helical elements and three loops (D, anti-codon, and T loops). Lineage: Eukaryota; Fungi; Ascomycota; Leotiomycetes; Helotiales; Dermateaceae. The record is from RNAcentral.